GUUAGCCUACGGGGCACAGCAGUGGGGAAUAUUGCACAAUGGGGGAAACCCUGAUGCAGCAACGCCGCGUGAGUGAUGACGGCCUUCGGGUUGUAAAGCUCUGUCUUCAGGGACGAUAAUGACGGUACCUGAGGAGGAAGCCACGGCUAACUACGUGCCAGCAGCCGCAGUAACACGUAGGUGGCGAGCGUUGUCCGGAUUUACUGGGCGUAAAGGGAGCGUAGGCGGACUUUUAAGUGAGAUGUGAAAUACUCGGGCUCAACUUGAGUGCUGCAUUUCAAACUGGAAGUCUGGAGUGCAGGAGG
This 305-nucleotide ribosomal RNA is filed under the name uncultured bacterium. Its description in RNAcentral is "bacterial SSU rRNA". It matches the Rfam family "Bacterial small subunit ribosomal RNA", at positions 332 to 655 of the family's 1533-position model. The record is from RNAcentral.